GAGAAACUAGAAGGGCUUUAGAAAACAAUCCUUGCCUGAGUCCCCAAACCAUGGAGAAGCUCACUCAAGAGAAGGGCUCAAGGGAACAUGGAGAUUCCUAAAAAUGACCUGGUACUGAACAAUGUGAAGAAAAGAAAAGACGAAACAUUUAGAAAAUCAUGUCCCACGAAAACUAAAGAGGAAAGAUAAAAAGACCAAAAUAGGAUUGCCAGACAAACGAAAACAGUCUAAGCAACCUUGUAAUUCAUCUCAUUUUCUUGACUCUUCCUUUCCUCAAGUUCCAAGAGUCUACGUAACAAGAACCCUGAUAAAGGAUAGUUCUGCUCAAGGUAACAGUUGAUAUUCAAAAGGAAAACAAAAGUCACAUGCUACCUCCCUUACUUUCUUGAGAUGCCCAUGGAGUUUAUCUUCACCAAGAGAUCUACAAGUGGAGAUUUUCAUCCUUGGGAGCCCUGGGUCUUUGUGAGCUAUCACUGGCUCAGAGUUUUAGAGCCUAAAGAAAAUUAAACAAGGCCUAAAACAUUGGAUUAAGUGUCCUGCAGCAAUACUGCCUAUGCUCCUGGGAAUGCAUACAGCCGGAGGCACUUAGCAGUGAUCUCACUACAGGGCUACGUAACCAUCCCCGUGUCAGUCUUUGCCCAUAGGCCAGUGGGUAUAUGCAGCAGCACAUGUACACCACAUGCAGCUCAGAAGAUUCUAGAAGGAAGUGGUAAGUAGAGGGAAAGGGGUUUCAGAUGGUGGUGCCUGUAAUAUACCAGAUACUGUCAAAGUGCUUUACACACAGUAACUUCAUCUACACUUCACAACUCUACAGUUUAAAUGCUACUUUUAUUCCCAUUUCAUGGAUGAGGAAACUGAAGCUCCAGAACAUGAAGGAAGUUGUUGAGAGUCUCACAGCAAUAAGGAAGUAUGGUAAGAAUCAAACCCAGGCAGCGUGCAUUCAGUCUGUCCUCUUGAACACUUCAUUAUACUGUCUCUGACCAAUGCAAGUGGGGGAGGGGGGUGGCAGAAAAAAUUUUAAAUAUCAUUGCUAAAAGCCAAGGUGCCAGCCCCUGUCCCUCAAAAUACUUGGCAUGGAUUAUUUUUAAAAUGAAAUCUUUCAUGAAAACGUUUUGAUAAUAGCCGUCCAGCACAAUUAUAAAGAGAGCUUUCUUUGUACUCUUAAGAGCCUCUGAGCUGCAGACUGACUACAGUUAUGAUUAUUGUAAAUUUAACCACUUGCUCCAUCUCUCACAAGAAAAGCUUGUGGUUUGGAACUAGCCACGUUCUCGCGAUCAUCAAGUACGAAGCGACAACCAAGAAUGUGGAUUCUGAUCAUCUCUCCAGGCGAUCAGAGUCCCUGCCUGCGAGGAUCACAGCCUUGGCUAAUGGUUCUGAGCUUUGUGCUUUCCGCUGGUGAUGGAUCAUCUGCCUAGUCUGACAUCCUCCUUAAUGGCUCUUCCUCCUCACAAUGUGCUCGGGCUCAUCUAGGCUUUUGCUUAUCCCAUAUGUGGUUUCCGGUUUUUCCUUUGUCUUCUUUUUUCCUCCCCUUUGGAAUAACUUUAAGUGGCUUUAGAUAAUAGUGCUCUGCUACAUCUUCUUUCAACGCAUACAUCCUCUUCAGCUGCCUGCCUGCCUGCCAUCCAUCCAUCCAUCCAUCCAUCCAUCCAUCCAUCCAUCCAUCCAUCACCUCUCUGCUCACUUUCCUUCUAGAAUAGCUUAUUUGAAUUUCCCACAGAUGAUACCAGAACGACCUUCUCUCCCCCAUUAUUGAGGAAUGGGUAAUGAGAAUACAUUUUAGAUUUCACCAAUUCUCUGUAGCUUCUCGUAUCUUUUCUUCUUUGCUAAUUUUUCUCUUUUCUAUUCUAUUUAUAUAGAGUGAUAUGCUGAAGAUGGUUCCAAAUGGUUGGUACAUCUUUAUAUAGAACAGGAUUUUUAAAAGAAAUAUCAGCCACCCCAAAGACGGAAUCUAUUACAGUAUUCUUUCAGGAGCAAGAUGAUGAAGAAGUUGGCAGCUGGUGCCAGGCAGCUCUUGCAUCCAGAUUCAGAGUCUGGGUUGAUUCAGAUCAGUUCCUUACUUCCGUGCUAACUGGCUACAUGUCCUGUGCUUUGUGGUCUCGCUGCAUCAUUAAAACCCAAUGAUUUGUCCUCAUGGACCACUCUGAACCUGGCCCAUAAAUUGAGCACAUUUUCCUCCGCCUCCUAUGAGUCAUCACUGAUGCUCUCAAGCACAGAGCGGGUCCCUGGGGCAGCCUCACUCGAGCCGUCCUCAGCGCAUUACUAUGGAGUCGGCAAUACAUCUCUGUCUUGUCACUCGCCUUAGGGAAUCAGAGAAUCUUACUUGCAAGCAGAGAGACUGCGAAGUGGAGGCCAAUUUGCAUUUAGAGUCAAUUUCCAGAGACUGACACACUGAAUCUUUCUGCAAAUGCUUUUCUUAAACUGUACUGCUCUGCAGUGCAGAGCCUCCUUGACAGUUCUAUAGCCCGUGUUUCCUUGCUUUAUGGCAAUUUACAUCACACACAAGCCCUGAGUACUGUCAACUGACAUAACACACUAAAACAAAGAGUAAAUAAACAUGGAAAUAGA
Non-coding RNA from Microcebus murinus (gray mouse lemur), 2565 nucleotides. NCBI's taxonomy places the organism in Eukaryota, Metazoa, Chordata, Mammalia, Primates, Cheirogaleidae. The record is from RefSeq and is a predicted model, not a curated record.